GACGAACGCUGGCGGCGUGCCUAAUACAUGCAAGUAGAACGCGGAAGAGAGGAGCUUGCUCUUCUUGGAUGAGUUGCGAACGGGUGAGUAACGCGUAGGUAACCUGCCUUGUAGCGGGGGAUAACUAUUGGAAACGAUAGCUAAUACCGCAUAACAAUGGAUGACACAUGUCAUUUAUUUGAAAGGGGCAAUUGCCCCACUACAAGAUGGACCUGCGUUGUAUUAGCUAGUAGGUGAGGUAAUGGCUCACCUAGGCGACGAUACAUAGCCGACCUGAGAGGGUGGUCGGCCACACUGGGACUGAGACACGGCCCAGACUCCUACGGGAGGCAGCAGUAGGGAAUCUUCGGCAAUGGGGGCAACCCUGACCGAACAACGCCGCGUGAGUGAAGGAGGUUUUCGGAUCGUAAAACUCUGUUGUAAGUCAAGAACGGGUGUGAGAGUGGAAAGUUCACACUGUGACGGUAGCUUACCAGAAAGGGACGGCUAACUACGUG
This 497-nucleotide ribosomal RNA is filed under the name uncultured bacterium. Its description in RNAcentral is "partial 16S ribosomal RNA". It matches the Rfam family "Bacterial small subunit ribosomal RNA", at positions 28 to 507 of the family's 1533-position model. The record is from RNAcentral.